CCUACGGGAGGCAGCAGUGGGGAAUAUUGCGCAAUGGGGGAAACCCUGACGCAGCCAUGCCGCGUGGGUGAAGAAGGCCUUCGGGUUGUAAACCGCUGUCGGAAGGAAGGAAAUGCAUGGGGGUUCUCCCCCGUGUUUGACCGAUCUUCGGAGGAAGUACGGGCUAAGUUCGUGCCAGCAGCCGCGGUAACACGAACCGUACGAACGUUAUUCGGAAUUACUGGGCGUAAAGGGUGCGCAGGCGGCCUGGGAAGUCUUGGGUGAAAGCCCCCAGCUCAACUGGGGAAUGGCCUGAGAAACCACUGGGCUGGAGUGCUGGAGAGGGAAGCGGAAUUCCCGGUGGAGCGGUGAAAUGCGUAGAUAUCGGGAGGAACACCAGAGGCGAAGGCGGCUUCCUGGACAGACACUGACGCUGAGGCACGAAAGCUAGGGGAGCAAAC
Molecule: ribosomal RNA, 440 nt
Filed under: uncultured bacterium
Lineage: Bacteria
Description: bacterial SSU rRNA
Rfam family: Bacterial small subunit ribosomal RNA
Source: RNAcentral